This 301-nucleotide ribosomal RNA is filed under the name uncultured bacterium. RNAcentral's name for it is "partial 16S ribosomal RNA". It matches the Rfam family "Bacterial small subunit ribosomal RNA", at positions 509 to 807 of the family's 1533-position model. The record is from RNAcentral.
CAGCCGCCACGGGAAUACGAAGGGGGCUAGCGUUGCUCGGAAUGACUGGGCGUAAAGGGCGCGUAGGCGGCGGCCAAAGUCAGGCGUGAAAUUCCCGGGCUCAACCUGGGGGCUGCGUUUGAUACUUGGUUGCUUGAGUGGGGAAGAGGGUCGUGGAACUCCCAGUGUAGAGGUGAAAUUCGUAGAUAUUGGGAAGAACACCGGUGGCGAAGGCGGCGACCUGGUCCUUUACUGACGCUGAGGCGCGAAAGCGUGGGGAGCAAACAGGAUUAGAUACCCCCGUAGUCCCUGUCUCUUAUAC